RNAcentral lists this ribosomal RNA (500 nucleotides) under uncultured microorganism. RNAcentral describes it as "bacterial SSU rRNA". It matches the Rfam family "Archaeal small subunit ribosomal RNA", at positions 234 to 734 of the family's 1478-position model. The record is from RNAcentral.
AGUGGGUGUAACGUACCUACUAGCCUACGACGGGUACGGGCUGUGAGAGCAAGAGCCCGGAGAUGGAUUCUGAGACACGAAUCCAGGCCCUACGGGGUGCAGCAGGCGCGAAAACUUUACAAUGCGGGAAACCGUGAUAAGGGAAUCUCGAGUGCCAGCAUAUAAUGUUGGCUGUCCAGAUGCCUAAAAAGCAUCUGUUAGCAAGGGCCGGGCAAGACCGGUGCCAGCCGCCGCGGUAACACCGGCGGCCCGAGUGGUAACCGCUUUUAUUGGGUCUAAAGGGUCUGUAGCCGGCCAUGUAAGUCCCUUGGGAAAUCUGGCAGCUCAACUGUCAGGCUGCUAGGGGAUACUGCUUGGCUUGGGACCGGGAGAGGUGAGAGGUACCUUGAGGGUAGGGGUGAAAUCUUGUGAUCCUCGGGGGACCACCAGUGGCGAAGGCGUCUCACCAGAACGGGUCCGACGGUAAGGGACGAAAGCUAGGGGCACGAACCGGAUUAGAU